CCAGUUCCUCUUUUUUCUGGCACUCAUUCAUUGUGUCCAAAGAAUGACAGUCACACUUCCGUCACACCAUGGACACCGGAACUGAACACACCAGAGGGGAGGGACUUCCUGUGCUCUUCUUUCACCCCAGUUCGGAGAAACGGGCUUGGGAAGGUUUGUUUCUGUUCAGGUUCCAGAAGGGAACGUCAUGGGACUGAGGAAUUUGAGCCAUGGUGAUCUUGGAGCCUGGAUUACAGAACUUACGGCAGCUAAAGUGGAUCAUCAACUGGGAUCCUCAGUGGAGCAAGCAGAUGAUAAGAUCCUUGAGGCCAGACACCGACACAAUGUAUGGCAACAAAUUGAAUACAGAAGCAGAUAGGAGAAUCUAAUUGUUUUCUAUUAAGCUGGAUUAUUA
This is a non-coding RNA of Monodelphis domestica (gray short-tailed opossum), 394 nucleotides long. The record is from RefSeq and is a predicted model, not a curated record. Lineage: Eukaryota; Metazoa; Chordata; Mammalia; Didelphimorphia; Didelphidae.